Molecule: ribosomal RNA, 674 nt
Filed under: Zygaena rubricollis flavicola
Lineage: Eukaryota; Metazoa; Arthropoda; Insecta; Lepidoptera; Zygaenidae
Description: partial 16S ribosomal RNA
Rfam family: Bacterial large subunit ribosomal RNA (bases 388-546)
Source: RNAcentral
GUCUUUUUGAAAUAAUUUAAAGUCUAAUCUGCCCACUGAUAUUAUAUUAAAGGGCUGCAGUAUUUUGACUGUACAAAGGUAGCAUAAUCAUUAGUCUCUUAAUUGGUGACUUGUAUGAAUGAUUGGAUGAAAUAUAAACUGUUUCUUAUUUAUUUAUAGAAUUUAAUUUUUUCAUUAAAAAGUGAAAAUAAAUUUAAAAGACGAGAAGACCCCAUAGAGUUUUAUAUAUGAAAUAAUUUAAUAAUUAUAUUUAAGAGAAUUAAUUAAAAUUAUUUAUUAUAUUUUAUUGGGGUGAUAAAAAAAUUAAAAAAACUUUUUUAUAAUUUUUCCAUUAAUAAGUGAGUAGAUGAUCCAUUAUUAUUGAUUAAAAGAAAAAAUUACCUUGGGGAUAACAGCGUAAUUUUUUCUUUUAGUUCAAAUAGGAGAAAGAGUUUGCGACCUCGAUGUUGGAUUAAGAUAAAAUUUAAAUGCAAAAGUUUAAAAUUUUGAUCUGUUCGAUCAUUAAAAUCUUACAUGAUCUGAGUUCAAACCGGUGUAAGCCAGGUUGGUUUCUAUCUUUAAAUAAAUUAAAUAUUUUAGUACGAAAGGAUUGAAUAUUUAAAAUAAUUUUUAAUUUUAGAAUUUUAUUAAUUUGAUUAUAGAAUUAAAAUUUUUAUUUUAUUGAUAUUAUAAAU